This is a non-coding RNA of Rattus norvegicus (Norway rat), 471 nucleotides long. Ensembl annotates it as Nuclear RNase P. NCBI's taxonomy places the organism in Eukaryota, Metazoa, Chordata, Mammalia, Rodentia, Muridae. The record is from Ensembl.
GCAACUCAGCCAAACACAGGCAGGGGCAGGAAGUGUCCUUGGCCUCUAGAAAGUUCUGAGACUAGGACCUCGUGGGCCCUAACCGAGGUCUCCCUGAACGGGAGGUGAGUUCCCAGAGGGCAGGACUCCAAGCGAGGACAGACUGGGCAGAAGAGACCCCAAGUGAGCAGAUGUCUCCCCUCCCUGGAGUAUAGAACAGACUCCUGGUCACUCAUUUUGUUCAGUGAGUGGCUACCCUUCCUGCCAGGAGAAGUGUUCACUCUCUGAACAGAUGUGGUCUCUGAGUUGGAAGAAGGUCUCUGCUGACACCAUCCUGCCGCACUCAGACAACGGAGAGCCAACAACCAGUCCCUCCCACGUGCCUUAACUUACAGCACCCAGUCAGUCAGCUAAGCAGAGCGAGAAUAAACAAGACGAUAUCCCAUGUUAGGGUGGCAGGCAACCCAAGAGGGCUUCAGACUAAAUUCUUGC